This 1372-nucleotide ribosomal RNA is filed under the name uncultured bacterium. RNAcentral's name for it is "bacterial SSU rRNA". It matches the Rfam family "Bacterial small subunit ribosomal RNA", at positions 28 to 1381 of the family's 1533-position model. The record is from RNAcentral.
GAUGAACGCUGGCGGCGUGCCUAAUACAUGCAAGUCGAGCGAACGGACGAGAAGCUUGCUUCUCUGAUGUUAGCGGCGGACGGGUGAGUAACACGUGGAUAACCUACCUAUAAGACUGGGAUAACUUCGGGAAACCGGAGCUAAUACCGGAUAAUAUUUUGAACCGCAUGGUUCAAAAGUGAAAGACGGUCUUGCUGUCACUUAUAGAUGGAUCCGCGCUGCAUUAGCUAGUUGGUAAGGUAACGGCUUACCAAGGCAACGAUGCAUAGCCGACCUGAGAGGGUGAUCGGCCACACUGGAACUGAGACACGGUCCAGACUCCUACGGGAGGCAGCAGUAGGGAAUCUUCCGCAAUGGGCGAAAGCCUGACGGAGCAACGCCGCGUGAGUGAUGAAGGUCUUCGGAUCGUAAAACUCUGUUAUUAGGGAAGAACAUAUGUGUAAGUAACUGUGCACAUCUUGACGGUACCUAAUCAGAAAGCCACGGCUAACUACGUGCCAGCAGCCGCGGUAAUACGUAGGUGGCAAGCGUUAUCCGGAAUUAUUGGGCGUAAAGCGCGCGUAGGCGGUUUUUUAAGUCUGAUGUGAAAGCCCACGGCUCAACCGUGGAGGGUCAUUGGAAACUGGAAAACUUGAGUGCAGAAGAGGAAAGUGGAAUUCCAUGUGUAGCGGUGAAAUGCGCAGAGAUAUGGAGGAACACCAGUGGCGAAGGCGACUUUCUGGUCUGUAACUGACGCUGAUGUGCGAAAGCGUGGGGAUCAAACUGGAUUAGAUACCCUGGUAGUCCACGCCGUAAACGAUGAGUGCUAAGUGUUAGGGGGUUUCCGCCCCUUAGUGCUGCAGCUAACGCAUUAAGCACUCCGCCUGGGGAGUACGACCGCAAGGUUGAAACUCAAAGGAAUUGACGGGGACCCGCACAAGCGGUGGAGCAUGUGGUCUAAUUCGAAGCAACGCGAAGAACCUUACCAAAUCUUGACAUCCUUUGACAACUCUAGAGAUAGAGCCUUCCCCUUCGGGGGACAAAGUGACAGGUGGUGCAUGGUUGUCGUCAGCUCGUGUCGUGAGAUGUUGGGUUAAGUCCCGCAACGAGCGCAACCCUUAAGCUUAGUUGCCAUCAUUAAGUUGGGCACUCUAAGUUGACUGCCGGUGACAAACCGGAGGAAGGUGGGGAUGACGUCAAAUCAUCAUGCCCCUUAUGAUUUGGGCUACACACGUGCUACAAUGGACAAUACAAAGGGCAGCGAAACCGCGAGGUCAAGCAAAUCCCAUAAAGUUGUUCUCAGUUCGGAUUGUAGUCUGCAACUCGACUACAUGAAGCUGGAAUCGCUAGUAAUCGUAGAUCAGCAUGCUACGGUGAAUACGUUCCCGGGUCU